UACGGAGGGUGCAAGCGUUAUCCGGAAUCACUGGGCGUAAAGGGUGCGUAGGCGGGUCUUUAAGUCAGGGGUGAAAUCCUGGAGCUCAACUCCAGAACUGCCUUUGAUACUGAAGAUCUUGAGUUCGGGAGAGGUGAGUGGAACUGCGAGUGUAGAGGUGAAAUUCGUAGAUAUUCGCAAGAACACCAGUGGCGAAGGCGGCUCACUGGCCCGAUACUGACGCUGAGGCACGAAAGCGUGGGGAGCAAACAGG
RNAcentral lists this ribosomal RNA (253 nucleotides) under uncultured bacterium. RNAcentral describes it as "partial 16S ribosomal RNA". It matches the Rfam family "Bacterial small subunit ribosomal RNA", at positions 524 to 776 of the family's 1533-position model. The record is from RNAcentral.